This 301-nucleotide ribosomal RNA is filed under the name Clostridioides difficile. RNAcentral describes it as "partial 23S ribosomal RNA". It matches the Rfam family "Bacterial large subunit ribosomal RNA", at positions 1699 to 2011 of the family's 2925-position model. The record is from RNAcentral. Lineage: Bacteria; Bacillati; Bacillota; Clostridia; Peptostreptococcales; Peptostreptococcaceae.
CUGUUGUUAAGGAACUCGGCAAAAUGACCCCGUAACUUAGGGAUAAGGGGUGCCACCAUCAGGUGGCCGCAGAGAAUAGGCCCAAGCGACUGUUUACCAAAAACAUAGGUUUCUGCUAAGUCGCAAGACGAUGUAUAGGAGCUGACGCCUGCCCGGUGCUGGAAGGUUAAGGGGAUCUGUUAGAGUAAUCGAAGCAGUGAACUUAAGCCCCAGUAAACGGCGGCCGUAACUAUAACGGUCCUAAGGUAGCGAAAUUCCUUGUCGGGUAAGUUCCGACCCGCACGAAAGGCGUAACGAUUUG